UACAUAGGGGGCAAGCGUUGUUCGGAAUUACUGGGCGUAAAGGGCGCGUAGGCGGCCCGCUAAGUCGAACGUGAAAUCCCCGAGCUCAACUCGGGAACUGCGUCCGAUACUGGUGGGCUUGAAUCCGGGAGAGGGAUGCGGAAUUCCAGGUGUAGCGGUGAAAUGCGUAGAUAUCUGGAGGAACACCGGUGGCGAAGGCGGCAUCCUGGACCAACACUGACACUGAGGAGCGAAAGCCAGGGGAGCAAACGGG
This 253-nucleotide ribosomal RNA is filed under the name uncultured bacterium. Its description in RNAcentral is "partial 16S ribosomal RNA". It matches the Rfam family "Bacterial small subunit ribosomal RNA", at positions 524 to 776 of the family's 1533-position model. The record is from RNAcentral.